GACGAACGCUGGCGGCGUGCUUAACACAUGCAAGUCGAACGGAAAGGCCCUGCUUUUGUGGGGUGCUCGAGUGGCGAACGGGUGAGUAACACGUGAGUAACCUGCCCUUGACUUUGGGAUAACUUCAGGAAACUGGGGCUAAUACCGGAUAGGAGCUCCUGCUGCAUGGUGGGGGUUGGAAAGUUUCGGCGGUUGGGGAUGGACUCGCGGCUUAUCAGCUUGUUGGUGGGGUAGUGGCUUACCAAGGCUUUGACGGGUAGCCGGCCUGAGAGGGUGACCGGCCACAUUGGGACUGCGAUACGGCCCAGACUCCUACGGGAGGCAGCAGUGGGGAAUAUUGCACAAUGAGCGGAAGCCUGAUGCAGCAACGCCGCGUGCGGGAUGACGGCCUUCGGGUUGUAAACCGCUUUCGCCUGUGACGAAGCGUGAGUGACGGUAAUGGGUAAAGAAGCACCGGCUAACUACGUG
RNAcentral lists this ribosomal RNA (468 nucleotides) under uncultured bacterium. RNAcentral describes it as "partial 16S ribosomal RNA". It matches the Rfam family "Bacterial small subunit ribosomal RNA", at positions 28 to 507 of the family's 1533-position model. The record is from RNAcentral.